This 4395-nucleotide long non-coding RNA is filed under the name Marmota monax (woodchuck). The record is from RNAcentral. Lineage: Eukaryota; Metazoa; Chordata; Mammalia; Rodentia; Sciuridae.
AAUAUUUUUGCUCUGCUUAAACAUGAUUUUAUUUUAAUUAUGUUUGUCUAUUUACUUGCAGGACAUUGGAGAUGGUGGUUCUCUCAGAAUGGUUCACUUUGGUUUGGUGUAAAAAAAUGAACUUUUUUUUUUUUUUAACUUCAAAAAGAAAUCAGCCUUUUUCAUGACCUGAUUCAAUUAAAAUCUCCCCAUAUGGAUUUUUAAAAAGGAAAGAUGGUCUAUGUAACAUAGCAUAAUAGUAGCAAAGUGAUCCUAAAUAAAAGUCCUUAACAUACUUUAUUUUUAGUAAUAUACAAAUUUUGAAAAUGUUUUAAGCUGUACAUUAUUAGGUACUUCAAAAACAAUAUUUAAACCUUGUUCUCUAGUAUUUUAAAAAUUUUGUCAGCUGGUCUUACUUAUAUCACUAAUUUACAUUAUAUGUAAAAUAUUUAUUAAGCAAAAAUGUCAGCUCAAACCCAUUAGUAGUAGACAUUUCCCCUGUAUCUUUUGAAUCUUACUGCUAUGAGGCACUGACUGCCCCAUAAAACUCAGAGAUAUUAUCUUCCUCUGGAGCAAAGAGUAGGCAUGUUUACUAUCUAUUAUAAAAGAUUUGAGGCUCCUUAAGUUCCGAGUUCUUUCUCUUUAAAUAGCCCAGAGUGUGCUGGUGGCAUUUGGCCCUUUUCACAUUGCUAUAUGGUAAUAGAACUCAGGAAAUCAAUGCAAAUAUAAAUAUAUUUAAAAUGCUGGGCUGGGGCUGUAGCUCAGUGAUAGACCCUGGGUUUGAUCCUUAGCACCACAUAAAAUUAAGGUAUCGUGUUCAACUACAACUAAAAAAUAAAUACUAAAAAAAAAUAUUGAUACUCUGGGUACUAUUGUUAUGAUUAAUAAACUGUCCUUUGUUUCUAAUGCCAGGAGUCUUAUGCCUUUUACCAGCAGACAUGAAACAGUUCCAUAAUUUAUUAACUUGUAAGUAGGGUAAAAUUUUGGACCCUUCACAGUUCUUGAUACCUGUUCAUUAGCAUAUAAAAGUUUUCAAAUUGUAGAUAUCUGUAAUAAUCAACAUCUUGAAAUAUUGUGCAUGAAUUAUAAAAUUAGAUCUUCUUAAAAGCUACACUGAGGUUUUUAUACUUCAGAUUUUUCUUCUUACUUUCUAUGCAUCUAUACCUCUACUGGGGAAUAUGACAAAGGGAGUAAAAGAUUUUUCAAUUCACAACUCUCCUUAAAAAGUUUUAGGUAAUUUUUUGUUUGUUUUUGUCUGGGUUUUUCUUCGUUUUGUUUUUGGGUUUUUUGUUUUGUUUUGUUGGUAAUUUGUAAUGUGUGUGCCACAUUUUAAAUAGAGAUAAAAUGUCCAGGAAUGGUGAUAUGCAUGCACCAUGCUGUUGGGGAGGCUGAGGAAGCACAUUCACUUGAGCCCAGGAGUUCAUGACCAGCCUAGUCAACUUAGUGAGAUCCCAUAUCAAAACAACAUAAACAAAAAAGUUUCAGUUAUCAGCAAAUUUUAAUUUUCCACCCUCCUUUAUCACACAGAUAAAUAAAAGUCAAUUUUUAAAUUAAAUAUUAUAUUGAAAAAAAUAUAAUUUUGCCAAAGAAUACAUUUUCUCCAGACUUUCUACUAAAGUCAUUAACCUAAAACAAACUGCAUUUCCUGAUCUACAUAUCCUUUUGCUCAUUUGACCAUUGUCUUUUACAACUAUAUGGGAAGUGUGGUAGAAAAGUUCAGUACCAUUUCUAGGUUCUAUGUGAGGAGGCCAUAGCCUGUGCUAAUGAUGUAUUAAAGAAAAUAUAGUUAUGAAUACAUCUAUAUCGUUCUAUAUGAUAGUAUGAAGUAACCAUGUUUGCCAGUUAUUAAGUGAAAACUAAAAAAAACUUUUACUUAAAUUCUCCAUUUUUCCACCUUCACAUGAAACUAGAAAAAUGGACUCAAGUUAUUAAAAAAAACAAGUUUAGAUAGUUAACAAGAAUAUAUUAUGAAUAAUAAAUAAAUAUAUGAUUUUUCAACAAAAGUACCAAGACCAUUGAGUGGAGAAAGGAUAGUCUUUUCAAUGAACGGGGGGGGGGAAUGAACAUGCAAAAGAAUGAACCUGGACCCUUACAUAGUGUCAUAUACAAAAUCUAACUCAAAAUGGAUCCAAGACCCAAACAUAAGAUACAAAACUGUAAAGCUUUAGAAGAAAACACAACUUCAUUACAUUGCACUUAAAAAUUAUUUCUUGGAUAUGACAUAAAGCAUUCAACAAAGUAAAAACAGGUAAAUUGGAUUCACUGAAAUUAGUAAUAUCUGUGCAUUACAGGACACCAACAGAGUAAAAAGGAAGAAAAUAUGUUUAAAUCAUAUCUGGUAAGGACUUAGUAUCUAGAAAAUAUAAAGAAUUCCUACGGCUCCACUUAGGUUGAGAAAUACGUAUGAACAAAAAAAAAAACAAGUAACCAACUUGAGCAAAGAAUCUGAAUAAACAUUUCUCCAAAGAAGAUAUACAAAUGGCCAAGAAGACAGGAAAUGAUGCUCAACAUCACUAAUAUUUAGGAAAAGGAAAACCAAAACUACAAUAUACCACUUCAUACACAUUGGGAUGACUACUACAUUAAAAAAAAAAAAAAGACCUAGCAUAUAUGAGGCCCUGGGUUCACAAAUAAAAAAAAGAAAGAAACAAGAGAAUAUAGCAAGUAUUAACAAGAUAAAUUGAAAAACUUGUACAUUGGUGUUGGGAAUAUAAAAUGGUAUAGCCACUAUGGAAAAUAGUACAGUGAUUCCUCAAAAAAAUUAAAAAUAGAACCAGGGACAGUGGUGCAUACCUGUAACCACAGUGAUUCAGGAGGCUGAGGUAGGAGGAUUGCAAGUUUGAAGCCAGUCUUGCCAACUGUCUCAAAAUAAAAAAGGGCUAGGGAUGAAGCUCAGUGAUAUAGUGUUCCUUUGUUCAAUUCCCAUUACCCCUCCCCCCAAAAAAUAUUCAAAACAGAAUUGCCGUGUGAUCUCGCAAUUCAAGCAGGUAUGUAUGUACCCUUGUCAAUAGCAGUACUGUUAUUCACAAUAGCCAAAACACAGAAACAACCUAAACAUCAAUCAACAGAUAAAUGGAUAAACAAAAUAUAGUGUAUAUAUCCACACAAAUUACAAUACUCAGCCUUAAGAUAAUAUCUGACACAUGCUACAUCACCAAUAUACUUUGAAUACAUUGUGCUAAGUGAAAUAAGCCAGUCGUGAAAAGACAAACAUCAUAUAAUUCCACUAAUAUGAGGUAUCUAGAGUAGUCAAAUUCAUAGAAACAGGAAGUAGAACUGUGAUUGCCAGGGGCUGAGGGGAGAAAGAAACCAGGAGUUGUUUAAUGGGUAUACUGUUUUGGUUUUGCAAGAUAAAAGUUCUAGAGAUUGUUUUCACAACAAUGUGACUGCAUUUAACCUACUUUAAAAAUGGUUUUAAGUUGGUGAGUUUUUAUGUUAUGUGCAUUUACCAUGAUUUUUUAAAAGAUGUAAUAUAUAUUUUUAAAUUAUUACACGAAAUUGAAGGUCUUAAAGAAAUCUUCAUGCUGUAUUCCUAAAAUGACUCCAAGAGAAAAGAGCUUCCAGAUUAGCAAGGUUUUGCUAAGACCAUGACUAUAUUUUAAUAAUCUAGAACCAUACCCUUGUUAAAUAAAUAUCAGUUGGUAUUUUUAAAAAGUCGUGGCAGAAAACCCGAAAGAAUUGAUAAGAAAACUCCUGGAACCCGGGCUGGGGUUGUGGCUCAGCGGCAAAGCACUCGCCUAGCACAUGUGCGGUGCUGGGUUCAAUCCUCAGCAUCACAUAAAAAUAAAUAAAAAAAAAAUAAAGGUAUUGUGUCCAUCUUUAAAUAAAAAUAUUUUUUAAAAACCCCACUAUUGGGCUGGGUUUGUAGCUCAGUGGUAGAACUCUUGCCUAGCACAUAUGAGGCACUAGGUUCAAUCCUCAGCACCACAUUAAAAAUAAACAAAAUAAAGGUAUUGUGUCCAUACCACAACUUAAAAAAAAUAUUUUUUAAAACCGCUGACAUUAGCACUCUCAAAAUUAAGUACUUGGGUAUAAAUCUAAUAAAAUAUGCAGAAGAGCUAUAUGAAGAAAACUAUAAAAAUCUAAAGAUAUUGCAUGUUUCUGUGCAGGAACACUAUUGUCAAGAUAUCACCUCUUCCCAAUUUGAUCUAGAGAGUCACUGCAAUCUCAAUCAAAAUCUCAGCAAGUAAUUUUGUAGAUAUCAACAAACUAAUUCUAAUAUAUGGAGAGAUAAGACCCAGAAUUGGCAACACAAUACUGAAGGAGAUAAAGUUGCAGAACUAAGUACCCAACAUCAAGAGUUACUAUAAAGCUACAGUAGUCAAAACAGAGAACAGACAUAUAAAUUAAUGGAACAGAAUAUAAAUAUAAGAAUAUAAGCCCAGAAAUAGACCCACUAUAUAUAAUUAGUAUAUA